AUUAAGAAAAAAAAAAUUGUAAUGCAAGAAGAAGAUGUAGCAUUUAAGUUUGCCAAGCAUAAUUGGAUGCAUAAAGUGUGGAAGGCUACACAUAUAUUCCCAUGGUCUUACUAUUAACAAACUAUUUCAAAAAUAAUAAAUAAAGCCACAUUCAUAAUAAUUCAUUGCUAGGCAAAUGCCACUCUGUUUCCAAUUUAAUCAAAUAUAAAAUAAAGCAUUUUCCAAUCAUAUAAUAAACACUAUUAACAUUUUGUUAAAAUUAUGACUCAAAAUCCUAGUAAGAUUUGAAGAAACAUUUUCCUACUUUGAGUAAGAGAAAUAUUCCUCAAUAGGAUA
Molecule: unclassified non-coding RNA, 336 nt
Filed under: Hevea brasiliensis (rubber tree)
Lineage: Eukaryota; Viridiplantae; Streptophyta; Magnoliopsida; Malpighiales; Euphorbiaceae
Source: RNAcentral